UCCUACGGGGGGCAGCAGUGAGGAAUAUUGGUCAAUGGACGAAAGUCUGAACCAGCGACGCCGCGUGUGGGAUGAAGGGGCUUUGCCCUGUAAACCACUGUCGGAAGGGAAAAAAAGAAGUAUGAACUUCUGGGAUUGUACCUUCAAAGGAAGGAUCGGCUAACUACGUGCCAGCAGCCGCGGUAAUACGUAGGAUCCAAGCGUUGUCCGGAUUUACUGGGUGUAAAGGGUGCGUAGGCGGGCUCGUGCGUUAGAGGUUAAAUACUUCGGCUCAACCGAAGAAAUGCCUUUAAUACGGCGAGUCUUGAGUGCGAGAGAGGAUAGUAGAAUUCCUGGUGUAGCGGUGAAAUGCGUAGAUAUCAGGAGGAAUACCAGUGGCGAAGGCGGCUAUCUGGCUCGUAACUGACGCUGAGGCACGAAAGCGUGGGGAGCAAACAGGAUUAGAUACCCCGGUAGUC
Molecule: ribosomal RNA, 458 nt
Filed under: uncultured bacterium
Lineage: Bacteria
Description: bacterial SSU rRNA
Rfam family: Bacterial small subunit ribosomal RNA
Source: RNAcentral